Molecule: long non-coding RNA, 3241 nt
Organism: Monomorium pharaonis (pharaoh ant)
Lineage: Eukaryota; Metazoa; Arthropoda; Insecta; Hymenoptera; Formicidae
Exons: 2
Source: RefSeq, a predicted model, not a curated record
CUAAAUUAAAUUAAAAGUUAUUAACUUUUUAACUUUAUUAUUAACUUUCAACUUUUUAACUAGUUAUUAUUAUCCAACCCUGGAAAGUGUUACAUAAAGCAUGGACUACACAACGCGAAUCGAUAGUGAAUCCAACUGUAUAACACAAAAUAAAUGAAAAAUAACAAAUUGUCGAUCAAUUAUGUCUUUUUCUAGUCAUGAGAAAAACAAAGACAGAGUUAAUUGGCGGCCAUUGCUCUCGCUCUUUUUUCUAAACCUAGUUUUGCAUAUUAUAAAUAAUAUAGAGAUGGCGCAGUCCAUGCUCUAAGUCGAUGGUAUUAUCUUGUAAACAGCCAUAUUGUAUCUGCCAUUUUAAAUUUUAAUAUUAUUUUUAUUAUUCAAUUUUAAAUCUGUAACAAAACCUAUAAACCUAAAUUUACUGCAAAAAUAUCCAGAUUUUCACAAAUUUACUAACUGAUGGCGGCCAUAUUAGAUCUCUAGCUGUUGUAUUGAAUUUGCAAAAUCUGAAUUCUGAUUCGGAAUCAACGAUUCAAAAAACGUAUGUAUGCAAAAUUUCAAGAAAGUCUGCUGAAAGAAACCUAAUUCCGCAAUCAAAGAGUUAAAAUAAUGUAUCUUUUCUGUGAAAAUUGCUUAUUUCUUAUAACUUUCUUAUAAAUUUAUUUCUAUAAAAUUUAUUAAUUUUUUAUAACUUUUUGACGAAAUUUCACCCUACCUCCCAAAUAAUAAAAUAGUAUAGAAAAUUCGAAUAAAAUAGUAGGAUUAAUUACAAAGUGAGAAUAAAUUCUAUUAUAUAUAUGUGAUUUUUUGAAUCAAACUGUACAAAAAUUGUCUUCCAGACUCUGAGGUAUCAAAAUACUUACCGUUUAGAGGCUUACAAAUCUUUCAAUUGCGAAGUUGUUGAUAAGAUUUUGAUCGAUGCAUGAUUAUUUAGCCGGCUUGAAAUCAGCCUCAGGUUUGCAUGCAAAUCUGCCAGAGAAUGUCACAAGUGUGCGACAAAAUUUACAGGAAGUAUUACAAUAGAUACAAAGUUGUAGUCAUUAUGUCGAUCAUUCAAAAGUUGGGUCAAAGGGUGUGAAUAGAUUUUGGUAAAUUAUGAAACGUUCAGAAAGAUACGUACUCGACUCACGUGAUCGAAACUCAGGAAUUUGCUGCGAUGGGCCUUGUCGUUGGGACUUAUUACGAGUGAAUGAAUAUUUAAAAAAAAAAUUGAUAGAGGGCAAUGAGCAAUAAGCUUUAACACAAUUAAUUAUAAAUUAAACAAAAAAAUAUUUUAAACAAAAUUUAAAAAAUAAAAGUAUGUAAAUAAAAUUAAGAUGGAUUAAUGGAAAAAACGUAUUGUAAUAAUUGGCUCGAUCCGAAUGUUCGUCCAUGUUAUGCUUGAAGAAAGGAUCAUUGAUCCACACACACACAAACUAGAUCACGUGUGUUCACUUUUUCUUUAUUGUUAUUAAAUUAAUAUAUAUAUCAUUCGUAUAUAUAUAUUUAUAUAUUUAUAUAUAUUUAUAUAUUUAUAUAUUUAUAUGUGUAUGUAUAUAACAGCGACAAGUACAAUGUAAUGUUAUGAUUAUUAAAAAUAAUCGAGAGAGCACCGAUGAGUCUAAUGAAGAACCGAGGGAUGAGAUAAUUAUUGUAAUGAUAUAUUAACAAUGGCAACCAUAAUAAUGAUGAUAAUAAUGAUGAUUUAAUAAUAAUAAGUUGAUCAAUCUUUAAUUAAUACAGUCGUAUAUUCCCUUAAAGUCCGUCCUUAAUACUUAUAUCGCGCUUUUAUAGAUACAGGGAUACAGAAAAAUAAUACCGCGCGGCCGUGGUGGAAUGUUUUUUUUAAGUCGUAUAUAAUAUACAUAUAUAUAUGUAUAAUAUUUAUAUAAAAGAGGCGCGAGAGCCUUAAUUAAUUAAUUACAAGCCGGCGCUAUCGUUGCACCGGCGCCCGUUUUAUUUACACCGCCAAAUUAGGCGAACUUCGAGAGACUGAUAAAAAUCUGUUAUGCGAAAUCAAAUCGUUAAAUAUGAUUCGUGACUUCGAAGCCACAGCGCCAGAACGCAAAACUGUGUAAGCGUUGUUAAAUAAAAUUGUAAAGUUUGCUUUACAUCUUUAAUUCAUAAGUUCCCCCAUUAAUUACAUAAUUUCAUAAUUUUAUAAUUUUAUAAAUUAAGUUUUUGUCGUUUGUUAAGAAUAUUUAAAGAAAAAAGCAUUUUGCCAUUUGACGGUUUGGAUUCUACUGAAUGAUUACACUACGUUUUGAUAAAGGAGAUCACAAAAAAAGAAAUCCCAAUUGUUUGAAUGAACAGCACCAGUUCGACCAUUGUUUCGUAAAUCACAAAGGAAGACGAAUACAUUAAUGCAGAAACUUUAUGUCGGUCAGUUUUAACAGAACAAUGAAAAGUUUACUUAAAACCAUUUAGCUGGUUCUUGACUUCGAAGACUAAGAUUCUUAUUUUGCAGAAGAGAAUUUUUAUGAGUUUUCCUCUCUGAGUUUGCCCACUUCUCGCGGAGUCCCCUCCAUAUUAAUUAGGAUUAAUCGUAGCUUUUACUUACAAUCCUAUCUGCCGAUCAAUUUUACACGCACGAGCUGCACUAUGUAGAUCCUUGGUCCAUUUUUGACGCAUACAUUUAUUUACAAGGGCGGUGAUUCGCCGCAUUCGCAAAAAUUACAAGUCAACCGCGCAAUCGGUAAAAUCUGGACUUUACUAAGAUAAUUUCCUCCGCUUUACGCUUUUGUAAAAUAAAAAAUUAUCAAUUAUAAAUGAAAUAUAAUAUAUAUGUUAUAUAAAUGUAAAAUAAAAUUAAAUACAAAAUUUUAUUUGUAAUAAAAAAUGAUUGACAAUGAAAAGUAAUAAUAUUUAAUUCUUGAUAAUUAUGUAAACUAUCAAAAUAUGUGAAUUUUAUACCAGCGUGAAACUUUUCCUAAAUUAAGACAAAAAGUUUUAAUAAAAAUAAAAUAAAUAAAUACAACUAUGUAAAACAGAUAUUUUUCAAAAAAUUUCUUGGACUUUCGAAGAACUUUUUAAUACAUUUACAAUGACUCUUUAAAUAAAGUAUUAUUUAUUAUUAUUUACAAAGUUUAAUCUUAAACUGACAUUACCACAAUAUCUUUGGAAUUUUUAACUUUCUUGGGAAAACUAUCUUGGGAAAAACUAAAUGUCAAAUCAUAAAGCAAUUAAAAACAAGUUUGAAAGCAACAUGAUUCUAUUAUUCGAAAUGUUAUUGCUUGAAUUUUAUUCCUACCUACUUUGUUUAUGA